Long non-coding RNA from Mauremys mutica (yellowpond turtle), 591 nucleotides. RefSeq lists it as uncharacterized. The record is from RefSeq and is a predicted model, not a curated record. Lineage: Eukaryota; Metazoa; Chordata; Testudines; Geoemydidae. The transcript is spliced from 4 exons.
GCUGGGACCAGAGAAGCAAUAAAGAGUGCUUCUUUCUGGUCAUAGGUGCUUGAGGGAGAACUAGAAGAUAGAUUCUGGUGGAAUUUGCAUUUAGCAAGGAGGAUGAGGAUCUGAGAACUUCAGCCUUGAGCUAUAAUUGUGCUGAGAGUCUAACAGUCAGUUUCCAGUAAUGAAAGGAGACAAGCUCUAAGGUGGACUUGACAGAAGCCUCUAACGCUACAGGAUCUUUGUUCUGCUGAUGUAAUUUCAAGCUCUGCAGAAGAUUUCACAACAGUACCACCUUGUUCUCCUCUCAGAAUUCAAAGUUAACCGGGCCAGGCUGGAGUAGAAGUCCAGAAUAAUUUACUGAAGCCAUUGUCACCAAGAUCAACACUAGUUUGUACAGUGAAAUUCUCCACUUUAUUUGAAAAGAAGAAAUGUUGUGUUAAAAUGACUCUUAAUACCAAACAAAAAGGUUGGAUCUUUUAGUGAUAAAGAUGCUGAUAACAACUACCCCAUGCCCUAGAAUAUCUGGAUGUACCAAAUAAAUGAUAGAAGUCAAUGGAGGAUCCCUGCCUUUCUAGUUUGCUUGUAGUGGUGGAAUCAAAUUAA